GCGCAUGGUAGCCUAGUGGACAUGACAUCUACCCGGUAAGCGGAACACUGUGGGUUCGAAUCCCAUCCCUGGCC
This 74-nucleotide transfer RNA is filed under the name Cordylochernes scorpioides. Its description in RNAcentral is "tRNA-Thr". Lineage: Eukaryota; Metazoa; Arthropoda; Arachnida; Pseudoscorpiones; Chernetidae. The record is from RNAcentral.